RNAcentral lists this ribosomal RNA (494 nucleotides) under uncultured bacterium. RNAcentral's name for it is "partial 16S ribosomal RNA". It matches the Rfam family "Bacterial small subunit ribosomal RNA", at positions 28 to 507 of the family's 1533-position model. The record is from RNAcentral.
GACGAACGCUGGCGGCGUGCUUAACACAUGCAAGUCGAACGGUGAAGCGCCUUCCUUUUUGGUGGGUGUGGAUGAGUGGCGAACGGGUGAGUAACACGUGAGUAACCUGCCCCCUUCUUCUGGAUAACCGCAUGAAAGUGUGGCUAAUACGGGAUAUUCUGGGUCUGUCGCAUGAUGGGUCUGGGAAAGAUAUUGUUUCGGUGGGGGAUGGGCUCGCGGCCUAUCAGCUUGUUGGUGGGGUGAUGGCCUACCAAGGCGGUGACGGGUAGCCGGCCUGGGAGGGUGGACGGUCACACUGGGACUGAGACACGGCCCAGACUACUACGGGAGGCAGCAGUGGGGAAUAUUGCACAAUGGGCGCAAGCCUGAUGCAGCGACGCCGCGUGAGGGAUGGAGGCCUUCGGGUUGUGAACCUCUUUCGCCAGUGAAGCAGGCCUGCCUCGUUUGUGGGUGGGUUGACGGUAGCUGGAUAAGAAGCGCCGGCUAACUACGUG